Molecule: ribosomal RNA, 492 nt
Filed under: uncultured bacterium
Lineage: Bacteria
Description: partial 16S ribosomal RNA
Rfam family: Bacterial small subunit ribosomal RNA
Source: RNAcentral
AGUGAACGCUGGCGGUAGGCCUAACACAUGCAAGUCGAACGGCAGCACAGUAAUAGCUUGCUCUUACGGGUGGCGAGUGGCGGACGGGUGAGGAAUACAUCGGAAUCUACUUUUUCGUGGGGGAUAACGUAGGGAAACUUACUCUAAUACCGCAUACGACCUACGGGUGAAAGCAGUGGAUCUUCGGACCUUGCGCGAUUGAAUGAGCCGAUGUCGGAUUAGCUAGUUGGCGGGGUAAAGGCCCACCAAGGCGACGAUCCGUAGCUGGUCUGAGAGGAUGAUCAGCCACACUGGAACUGAGACACGGUCCAGACUCCUACGGGAGGCAGCAGUGGGGAAUAUUGGACAAUGGGCGCAAGCCUGAUCCAGCCAUACCGCGUGGGUGAAGAAGGCCUUCGGGUUGUAAAGACCUUUUGUUGGGAAAGAAAAGCAGCAGGUUAAUACCCAGCUGUUCUGACGGUACCCAAAGAAUAAGCACCGGCUAACUUCGUG